GAGGGUAUAGCUCAAGGGUAGAGUGUGUGCUUCACAUGCACGAGGUCCUAGGUUCAGUUCCCAGUACCUCCA
This 72-nucleotide transfer RNA is filed under the name Camelus bactrianus (Bactrian camel). It matches the Rfam family "tRNA". From Rfam's summary of the family: Transfer RNA (tRNA) molecules are approximately 80 nucleotides in length. Their secondary structure includes four short double-helical elements and three loops (D, anti-codon, and T loops). Lineage: Eukaryota; Metazoa; Chordata; Mammalia; Artiodactyla; Camelidae. The record is from Rfam by way of RNAcentral. RNAcentral also lists the same sequence under 2 other names.